Molecule: long non-coding RNA, 2158 nt
Filed under: Heterocephalus glaber (naked mole-rat)
Lineage: Eukaryota; Metazoa; Chordata; Mammalia; Rodentia; Bathyergidae
Description: lncRNA (ENSHGLG00100039432.1)
Source: RNAcentral
AAGAGAGGCAGCGGCGACCAUUCCAGACCCGGGCUGGGCUGCGCGGAGGGGACGCCGCGGCGCCCAGGCUGGACGUGCGCACAUGCGCGCCGGAGUCCUGGCGGCUGCCUCACCUCGCCGCGCGUGCGCAUAACUCCUGCUGUCGCCAAUGGAAGUUCCCCGCGUCCCAAUGCAGGCCGCGGGUGCUGUGUGGUGGUUCCUCUCCCAGAGUUCUCGAGGCUGGGCUUCAGGGAAGGAACUGCAACCAGCACUGCGAAAGAGAACUUGCAAAGUUAAUUUCUUUGUCUUGUAGAGAUAAGCAGUUUCUCCAGACUUCGUCUUGCUGCUCAUUAUAACCAACUGCCCCUCUGGCUCGCCUCAGCCCAAGAAGUGACAGAGUGUGCAGAUGGCAGCCCCAGGAGGAUGGAGCCCAGUUUCCUUUCCACGAGAGAAGGGAUGCUGACUACAGAAUGGACAGGACUAAACUUCUCAGUGACUCCAGUUCAAUGAUGGCAAACCCUGUUGACCUUUCAGUGAUAGAGUCUGGCGAGCAGGUUCACUGUUGGUCUAGAUAAACAGCCACUUGUUCCAAUCUUUGAUAUUGCUCAAAUGUGGCAACCAGGGCUUAUGACACUAACCCCAAUCCCCUGUUGAAGCCCCUCCAACAUGGGCCAUGUUCUGACUCACCAUCACCUGAGAAGGCUGCCUGGCACCCAGGGACAAGGCACAGGCGGUUAAUUUGCAAAGGCUUCAGAAAAGAGGAAGAGGAGAGAGCUGUGAGCACCAAAGAGUCACCUGUGUGUCAGCCCCCCACGCCCCCAAAUCAGUAGAGCUGCAGAGGUUGUGAAAGGGGAUCUCAUGCACGAUUGUCUACAAGCAGAAAGGCCCUUCUUCAUGGGCGAGUGAAAGGUUGCCUCUCUCGGCUUUUGGCUUUUGGUUUGUAUUUGACUUCAAUGUUUGGUGAUGCUUUUUGAUGCUCGAGCAUCCAGCUUUCCUUUGCUUGUGCUUCAGCUACCUUUGAUGGACUCUAUGUGCCAGUCCAAGGUGGGACAGCCAGCCUGAUGAUGUGGCACCUCAGGGCGCUCAAGACUGAGGGCAGAAAUAAGCAAGGGGGAAAUUGAAGCUACCACUGCAAAAUGGAGCCUUAAAGUUAGCUUUUGUUUCUUGUAGAGAUAAUCAAGUUCUCCAUAAUCCCUCCUACUCAGCACAUAAGCAGCACCCCAGCCUCUCUUCAGCCCAAAGAAGGGACAGAAUAUGCAGAUCCCACAGGAGGCGGGAGGCUGAGUUCCUUUCCACAAGAAAGAGGAACCAACCAAGAUGACCGGAAGUGAUAAAGCAACCGCAGGCAAAGGAACCUAAGCGUAUAAUCCUAAGUGGCCGGCCAGUAACACUUCAGGACAGUGACAUGGCGGAAUCUUCUUUGGGCGGGCCUUCUGUUUCCUCUUUUGGGCAAAAUCAAGGAGAGCUUCUGAGUUCAGGCCCCAGUUCUGCCUCCCCACGACCGUCAGGCAGCCCCUGCCCCGGAGGACCAGCGGCUGCAAGACCCACAGGGCCCAAACGUGCUGACCACAUGGGCAGAUGCGGCAUCCCUGUGUGCAUUUGCCCUGCCUGCAGCUUGUCUGUGCCCAGCCUCAGGCCCCAGUGCUGGACCCUGUUCUUUUUGUGCAGAACAGAGCAAAGAGUAUUUUAAAAGCUGUCCUCCUGGUCUACACCUCAGAUGAGCAGACGCGACUCAGUACCUGACACUUCGAGUACUGCACAGGCAUGAAAAUGCACGCAGCUCAUGCCAAGGCCUCUGGGCAAGCAAUGUUAACAAAAAAUCAGACGUCUGGGGACAGACUUUCUAUCACCUGUAUAUUGUACAUGUGGAAAUUAUGACCAAGGAUCAGAACUCGUGUGUUCAAUAAACUAUGGAAAAUCACAGACAACUUAAGCAGUCAUUACUCUGGAACUCUUUGCUCCAAUGGUUCAAGCCAAAACUCUUGAAGUCAUACCUGGCUGCUCUGCCAGAAACACCCCAAGCCGAAAUGCUACCCUCUCCACUCUGCACUCCUAGCUUGUCUUAAAACAGUGCCUACCAGCUGGUUUCCCACAUGCAGGUAUUUUGCCCUUCUAUAUUUACCCCACUCAGCAGCCUGAGUGAUCCUUAAAAAUAGAAAAAGUAAGACUAUAAAAAUCA